GGCAGGCCUGCUGGCAGCUCGCCGGGAAUUUCGGGCGCCAUCGGGCGGGUAGCUGACGGACACGGUGUCGUUGGGACAGACGCGCCAGAUCUGGGUAACGCUGCACCGGUUCGCCGGUCCGUAGAGAAUUAGUACUUUUUCAGGACACCCUGCACAGCUGUACAGAUGUGUGUGGCGCUUGGCAGCUGCAGCGCCCGGGCGGCGGGGGGGCUGGGACGGUUCUGUGUCCCAGCGCUCCGCAAUAACCUUCCCUUAAUGCCCGUGUGCUCCUGUGCCCGCACGGAAAACGUUUCUCGGUGCAGGGAAAGCCGCCUGUCAAACCUGCCAUUGCAGGCUCCUCGUGCCCAACAGGCGGGUAUCAAACUUCUCCCUUUACUGGGCCAUGCUUUCUUAAAAAAUUCCCACUGGAUUUGCAGCUGCCUGCCCUCUCUGCCGCAGCCCUACAGGGAAAAGGAGAAGGGGGAAAUGUUACCUGGAGUUUUCCCAAUGCCUUUUACUUCCCAGUGCCUGGAGCAUCUUCAGUCUGCAUCCCACCCACCCCCAGGUGUGGAUUUACCAUCUGGCAGAUGCUCUGACUUCCACUGAGAGCUGGAAGCCCAGGAAGGCGGCCAGCGCCGAGGGUUGGGAGCCCAGGAAGGUCUCGUUGCCAUUUGCCUCAUCCAGUGCUGGGAAGUGGGAUGUACGACGAGGCCUCCGGAAAGCCUGAACCAACUGGACCCUGGUACCAGUGACAACGCACCUGACUUCUGUGCGAGCAGCUGAUGUGAUGGUAACGUGGUGGGCUUGGAGAAACAGGUCUGCAGAGAGCACCCAGGGCUCACCUCUCAGUGGAGCAAAAUGGUCUGUCAUAUCCAUUUGCUAGUGUGAAUUACAUGCCCCUGGACGGAUGUUCAGAAGGUUAAAUACUGAGAUACAUCUGGAAAAAAGGACUAUGUAUACAAGCUACGGUAUCUCGUGUGAUGUAUUUAAUGUCCCUAAUUUACAUGCUGACAACUUUGCCAUUUCUAAACAAUGUUAUCAUUCAUCUUUCUGAUGAUUAAUCAGCACAAGCUUCAAACACUGUUUAUCACACUUUGAUGCAGCAAUCAAACAAGAAAGGCAAGGUGUUACAGGGGUGGUGGCGUUUUUUUCCAAAAAUCUUACAGUAUUUACAAAAAGAUGCAUAUGUUUUUUCUAACACCAUUCUUAGAAUUAUUCACUCAUUCACAAUCAUUGUAUAAAAACAUCAUUCAGAAACAGGUUUUAAAAUACACCCACCUCCUUUGCAUAGUAUACAGAAAAAUAGGCAAUUCAAGACACUUAAUUUUUGAAUGAGAAUGUGAACUGAUUCAAAGGUGCAACACUUCUGAGGAAGAAGGAUGCACUUCUCAAAAAAUAAUCAGCUGUGGUUCUCCUGAAGCUAAUGAGCUUCUUGUAGGUCUGCCAUCAAAUUCCCCUUUUACAGAUCAAGUAAUUUUUGCAGUGUACUGCCAUACACACGAUGCUUGCAUUAAGGUCAAACAAAUCACACUUCAGUUAGAUUUACUCUGUAGUAUUUGCAUCUGGACACUGACAAAAAUGAGUUACACAAAGUACUCACAAGGAUCAACGUUUCUUUCAUGUAUCAUGGCCCAUCCUUGGAACAACUCAAUGGACCUGAUUUGAUAUUUCCAAUUUCUGCUUGUAUAAUUGAGAAGCUGAAUAUACCCUUAUACUUGUAGUAUCUUUUCUUCUGUAAAAGGACCUUGGGUUCUCUUCACUAAAAGUUCAAAUGGCAGGCUGUGGCGGGAUUAUCAGGCACUGACUGUAUCUAUCCUGUUGAUUUUCAAACAAAACUUGGUAAUUUAGUCAGUUGGUUAUCUUGUAUGCUGAUCUUUUUUUUUUUUUUUUGCUUUAAAAAUGUGCUCCAGUGAAUUCAUUGAGCCUGGUCCAUUAAAGAGCAACAGGGAACUCUGAACAAUAGGUGCUUGUUUUACAGCUACUGCAAAUGCUUUGAAAGCACUAAAUUGCCUUUUAUACUCAACAGUCUAAUAACAAAGACUGAUUUUCUCCCUUUUUUUCCCCAAUUGAUUUGAUGGUUCACUUGAGCUUUAAAAACACAUUACAUAAAUCUUUACGGCUAUUACAAAAGUCUUUUGUCAAGUUUAAUUUGGUGUUCAGUUGUGGGGUUUUUUUUCCAUGGUAUAAUCAUUCACCCUUAAAUGCACUGUACCACCCAUACCCAGAUCGUGCUUGACUCUAGAUCCAUAGGAAUACAAAGUCCUAGAGGUUUGUUUUGCAUGGGGAGGGACCUAAAUCCUUCCAAAAGCAGUUUGUCACUGAAAGCUCCUGGUUCAGAGCUAUAUCAGAAAAAGCGCGGAGCACUCCCAGAGGCACCUCUGACAACAGCUCUACUCUCUCCUGCUAUUUCAACUUUACUGUUACAACCUGGACUUAAUAGCCCGUGGUGGAAGUACCGGCUGGGAUUGACUGAGAGGGUGGGAGAUCCAUCAGUGCAGACCUCUGCCCUGCUGCAGAAGAAAGGGAAACGUGCUGCUCAACCGGGCAGAGCAAGAGCUGGUAGAAAAGCAGUAAGUGCUGAAAAACCUUCAGAAAUGCAAUUAGGCACAAAACCCCCAAAACCUGAGCAGGUGAAAUUAUCGUCACCAGUAAAAGCAGAGAGGCUGUUAAAUGCCAGGCAGGCUUCCUCAUCCUACUUUCUCCUGACCCCUUUGAGUCCAGAUGCCUUUUCACUUUCCUCCUGCUUCUGAAGUGGAGGGUUUCUAUUGCUCUCCCCGUCCCCAGCCCUCCCCAUCCCGAGCUGUGGUCUGCGAGGAGAGCCUGGCCCUCGAGGUGUGCAGGGCCAGGGCUUGCUUUGGGGAAGGUGAAGAAGGAAAGGCUGGGAGCAGUAGGAUGCUCUCCCACCAAUCCACCCCUCUCUGCAAUUAUCAUCGCUCGGCUCUUUGAAGACCAGGUCGGUACAACCAGGGUUUGGCUGGCACUGUAAGGAGAAGGUGGGGGGCUCUGCUGGUGAUGGAGGCGGAGAUGAAGGAGUGACUCAGAAAGAACCCAGUUAAAUGCAUAGAGGUCCAUCUCCACCCCUGAGCUUCUCAAUACUGGGAGCCAGAGUGAGCUUCUCAGUCAGGGAUGCUGCGGUAAGAUGCGUUUGAUGCUCAGAGAUUCCCCACAUGCACCCAACCAGAAGAUGCUGCAGCUAGCCGUCUGGGAUUCCGCUCUCAUUGCCAGUGCCGUAAAUCUGGAGUUGUGACACUGACUUUCCUGGCUGUGUUUGGACCAGCACAAAACCUGGCUACAUGCCAUAACCGCUGUAAAUGCAGGACGGGUCAGAUUCACGCCUGGUGGAGCACGAUGGAGGAGUGGGGGACAGCACUCUAUUAAUGAAGCUAUUAUUCAAAUGAAGAACUUUUUUUUAAAAAAAAAAAAAGAAUAAAAAAAGAAAAAAAAAAGAGAA
Molecule: long non-coding RNA, 3430 nt
Organism: Falco peregrinus (peregrine falcon)
Lineage: Eukaryota; Metazoa; Chordata; Aves; Falconiformes; Falconidae
Exons: 2
Source: RefSeq, a predicted model, not a curated record